Molecule: ribosomal RNA, 244 nt
Filed under: uncultured bacterium
Lineage: Bacteria
Description: partial 16S ribosomal RNA
Rfam family: Bacterial small subunit ribosomal RNA
Source: RNAcentral
ACGAGUGGCGAACGGGUGAGUAACACGUAGGAAUCUACCCAGAAGUGGGGGACAACCCGGAGAAAUCCGGGCUAAUACCGCAUACGCCCUAAGGGGUAAAGCGGGGGACCUUUUCGGAGGCCUCGCGCUUUUGGAUGAGCCUGCGUCGGAUUAGCUUGUUGGUGAGGUAAUGGCUCACCAAGGCAACGAUCCGUAGCUGGUCUGAGAGGAUGACCAGCCACACUGGGACUGAGACACGGCCCAG